RNAcentral lists this long non-coding RNA (541 nucleotides) under Marmota monax (woodchuck). Lineage: Eukaryota; Metazoa; Chordata; Mammalia; Rodentia; Sciuridae. The record is from RNAcentral.
CAAUGUCAGCUUUCUGUUUUCUUUUCUCUGGUGGAGCCAGAGGCUGUCGGCAAAGGCUGGGCUGGGCGUGGCAUGACUGAGGUCAGUCUCUUUCAGAAAGUCCCAGCGAAUGCCUGUCUGGGUCCCCAGAUCACGAGCAUUUGGUCUCAUGAGGCAUAUUUGGGGCAAGAGGACUCAUUCUGCCCAGACAGCCCCAGGCCUGGGGGUGCUGGGGUUCCUAAUGGUGUGAGGGCCAGUGUCAAAGGGUGAGUGACCCCAGUGUCCUUCCAGGUGUGCAAGUGCCUGCAUACGGGAGCCGGGUGAGCAGUUAGGAGGAGACGCAGCCUGGUUCAGUUUAACGUUGAAAGUCCGUUCAGUCCCCACUCAGAGCUGGCUCGUGUGUUUAUCUCUGUGUUAACACAGGAAUGUUGCCAACCCUCGGGUGGCACAGUGACCUGCUUGUGCACAGCUGGCGUGUGGGUGGGCACGAAGUGCACCUGAGCCAGAGCAGACGAGCCUCACACGCCUGCUGCUUGAGGUUUGGAGGACCCCAGGAUGAGAG